Long non-coding RNA from Biomphalaria glabrata, 4174 nucleotides. RefSeq lists it as uncharacterized. NCBI's taxonomy places the organism in Eukaryota, Metazoa, Mollusca, Gastropoda, Planorbidae. The transcript has 3 exons. The record is from RefSeq and is a predicted model, not a curated record.
CCUGUCCUGUACAACAUCUUGUCAGACAAGUUUAAGCGGGCUUUUAGAAAUCUGUUGAACUGCUGCCCACGAAGAGAGUCCGUGCCUAGCACCAACUACUCCGGGAUAGCCACGGACAUCUGGGUCACCCGGAAAAAGAGAGUCAGCCUGCAGCAGUCCACCCUCAACUCCCAGCAGCUCAUCAAGCAGCAGCACAGGCUCUUCCAGAGAAGCAGCGGGAAGAGAAACGGGUAUGAAAAUGGUAGCGUCAAUCCCAUCCACUGCGGCUCUGGCGUUGGGAGCGGCGCGAACGGGGUAUCCAGCAGCCACGAGAUCAGCAUCAGCCCCAUGCUGCAUCGGAUCCAGAGCAUUAGGAGCGUGGAGACCGCAGAAGAGGCGGUGUGAGCCCAUGCUUUAGCCUCGUGAGGCGGACUACAGUAUUGAAACACAGGGAAACAUUCUCAGCUGGUUGAGUUAAGACUACAGCUACAGCCGGCAUGAGGAUUUAAUUGCAGCUUGUCUACUUACAGCUGCAGCCUGCUGAAAGAGCAUCUACAACCUAUGUAAAUAGUUUGCGCCUUUUGACAGUUUUUUUAUAACAAAAUAUUUGGACAAGCUCAAAGAAAAACCAAACAAUUCAUGGUUUCUUGGAUUACUCCUAUUGAAUGAAUCCAUCUUCAUCUUAUGUCUAUAAGGAUAAUGUCAUUUCGUGAAUUGAAGCCUUGUGUAAAUAGUAACCAGACUUAGUUAUUCUUAUUACAUGGUGAAGACCUCUUCUUUUGGAAGCCUAAGUUAGAACAGGUCAAAGAAAAAAAUCCGGUGCCUAGUAAAAGCUUAUCCGCACAGCGAUUGACAUCAGACCGAAGAAGUGGAGCCCCAGCUCACCGCAGGUCAUCAAACAGCUGCAAGAAACUACCGGAAACGGAAGCUGACACAUGAACGGGAAUGCCACUCCAAUUAUCUGCUUCCGAGAGCGGGGCCUAUACAACAUCUAUAAGGUCAGAAUUCUUGGCAUGACUAACAGUAGAUGCUGCACCAUCAGCACAGCCAAGAAGUCAUUAACCCCAGGCUGUUGAUUACACAGAAUAUUGAGGCUGUAGCAACAGCGGUAGUGGUGAUGAUGUCAGGAAACGCUGUGAUAUUAUACUCGAAGAUGGACUAUAUUAUGUCGACGCAAGGAUACAACUAGAACCUGUGUAAACAGUCUCAAAAUGCGCAGGAAAACAAAAGGCUACCAAACAUGAAACUAUUCGAAUUGUUCAGUUAUUGGUAUUUCAGCAUCUUCUCUUUAUACAGAGAAAUAAUUCGUUUGGUAUAGCCUUGAAUUAUUAAAAUCUUCAAAGUUAUAAUUUUAUUUCUUUGCCACUUCGUAAAGACAUGUUCCUUGUAGACCUGCGUUCAAAAUAUAGGUCACUUUGGACUAAAACAUGGUCACGUGUUUUGGCGGCAAGAGACGAUUGGUUAGGACGAUGAGACUGCACUUUUUACCAAAACAAAUCUGAUCGUCUGUUUAUCGCUGUACUUUUCCCACGCAAUAAUUUUGUUCUCAGAACUGUCGGAUUUCAUAAUACAUGUACACAUUGUGUUUGUAGUUGUCAUUUUGUCUGUGCGUGCGUGUGUGUUGUCCAUCAUUGGACCUUUUCACGUGCGUCCUAGGCUCUCCGCUCUUCCCAGUCAGAUGUCAUUAGCAUGUACGUGACAAGAGACUGACCACGUGAUUUCUUCUGCCUAUUUUUAGGUAUACUUCUUGAAGGAUGAAUUUUGGUGAAUAAACCGGAAGGAUAAGCUUUGUUGAUAACCGGAAGGAUAAGCUUUGUUGAUAAACCGGAAGGAUAUGCUUAGGGGAUAAACUGGAAGGAUAAGCUUUGUGGAUAAACCAGAAGGAUAAGCUUUGUGGAUAAACCGGAAGGAUAAGCUUUGUUCAUAAACCGGAAGGAUAAGCUUUGUUGAUAAACCGGAAGGAUAUGCUUGGGGGAUAAACCGGAAGGAUAAGCUUUGUGGAUAAACCGGAAGGAUAAGCUUUGUUGAUAAACAGGAAGGAUAAGCUUUGGGGAUAAACCGGAAGGAUAAGCUUUGUGGAUAAACCAGAAGGAUAAGCUUUGUGGAUAAACCGGAAGGAUAAGCUUUGUUGAUAAACCGGAAGGAUAUGCUUGGGGGAUAAACCGGAAGGAUAAGCUUUGUGGGUAAACCAGAAGGAUAAGCUUUGUGGAUAAACCGGAAGGAUACGCUUUGUGGAUAAACCGGAAGGAUAUGCUUGGUGGAUAAACCGGAAGGAUAAGCUUUGUGGAUAAACCGGAAGGAUAGCUUGGAGGAUAAAUCGGAAGGAUAUGCUUGGUGGAUAAACCAGAAGAAUAAGCUUUGUUGAUAAACCGGAAGGAUAUGCUUGGGGGAUAAACCGGAAGGAUAAGCUUUGUGGAUAAACCAGAAGGAUAAGCUUUGUGGAUAAACCGGAAGGAUACGCUUUGUGGAUAAACCGGAAGGAUAUGCUUGGUGGAUAAACCGGAAGGAUAAGCUUUGUGGAUAAACCGGAAGGAUAGCUUGGAGGAUUAAUCGGAAGGAUAUGCUUGGUGGAUAAACCGGAAGAAUAAGCUUUGUUGAUAAACCGGAAGAGUAUGCUUGGGGGAUAAACCGGAAGGAUAAGCUUUGUGGAUAAACCAGAAGGAUAUGCUUGGGGGAUAAACCGGAAGGAUACGCUUUGUGGAUAAACCGGAAGGAUAUGCUUGGUGGAUAAACCGGAAGGAUAAGCUUUGUGGAUAAACCGGAAGGAUAGCUUGGAGGAUAAACCGGAAGGAUAAGCUUUGUGGAUAAACCGGAAGGAUAUGCUUGGUUGAUAAACCGGAAGGAUAAGCUUUGUGGAUAAACCGGAAGGAUAAGCUUUGUGGAUAAACCGGAAGAAUAAGCUUGGAGGAUAAACGUGAGGAUAAACUUAUCCAAAAAUAAAGUCUUGCAGUAUGCUUCUUUAUCAUGGCUGGUCGUGUGGUAUGCGAUUUUGACUGUCAUCUUGACGAUUUCGGGUUCCAACACUUCCAGCGACCAACGCCUUUCGUUCUGCGAGAGGUUUGGGAGGGGGAGGUCUUAAUCUUCCGCUCUGACGGAACAUUCGACGCAUGUCAAACCAACAAAUCCUUCCAGAUUUCAAUAUUUGGUGGCACUUCAGUUCUGUUAGUUCUACAAAGUUAAUUUACAGCAUGGCAUCACCCUAAAGCCCCACUUCCGGCUUCUACGUUUGGGACCAUUUUAUCAAAGAUUUUAAAUAAGUUUUAAUUUCGGGAUCCUUAGGGGAACCACUGAGUCGACCCAGCUCUAACGGCUACCUGAAAUGAGUUGGGGGGAAAAGUAAAGGGAGUCGGUCGUUGUGCUGGCCACAUGACACCCUCGUUAACCGAAGGCCAUAUAAACAGAUGACCUUUACAUCAUCUGCCCCGUAGAUCACUGGGGUCUCAAAGGAGAACUUUCCUUUACUUCCACUAUGAAGAAUGACUCAAAACAAAAUAUUUGUUUAUCCCUACCAACAAAAUGUGUAAAUGUGUAAAUGUGUAAACAUUUGUUAUUGUGUACGUUGCCAUAUUCUGUACAUUUGGCUCAGCCAUAUUCUGUACAUUUUGCUCAGCCAUAUUCUGUACAUUUUGCUCAGCCAUAUUCUGUACAUUUUGCUCAGCCAUAUUUUGUAUAUUUUGCUCACCCAUAUUCAGUACAUUUUGCUCAGCCAUAUUCAGUACAUUUUGCUCAGCCAUAUUCAGUACAUUUUGCUCAGCCAUAUUCUGUACAUUUUGCUCAGCCAUAUUUUGUAUAUUUUGCUCAGCCAUAUUCAGUACAUUUUGCUCGAUCAGGUCUUGGUCAUUAAAAUACUUGCCCAAAUAAACUGUUUGACCCAAUGUGAUUAAUACAUGUCAAUAAUGUCAAUAAUAAAUGAGAUGGUCGCCUCGUCGUGUGAAAUGCAUUCCGGACUAUCAUUACAAUUGUCUUGGGUUCUCGCGCAAUAAUCUUUAUUGAAUUAUCAUACAUCUAUUGAUAGACAUCCGCUUAAGGGGCCCUUACAGGAUGAAUAAUCAUCCAUCACUUACAUUUUUUAAAAGUACCACCUAAGUGGUCCCCGAAGUGCUGUCAUUUUGUUUGUUACCUCGGCCUACACAGAUUUCUGUCUGGCCUUAUGUACAGUGAACUAACCCUGUGGUUUUAAGUUCUACAAAAUGUU